CACAAAUCACACCUAUGUGGGGGUGUAACACACAUACUUCUAACUCAGCUGCUUUUAGGAGCUAUGCAACUAAAUGAGAUUGCUUUUGCAGUUAGGGAGGCGACUACUGAAACUGUAUGAAUGAAAAAAACUACUUUCUGCAUAAUGAGAUAAUUUUGGAGACAGUUGAUAAAAACCGUAAAUCCGGCCGGGCAAGGUGGCUCAUGCCUGUAAUCCAAGCACUUUGAGAGGCCGAGGCGGGUGGAUCACGAGGUCAGAAGUUCAAGACCAGCCUGGCCAACAUGGUGAAACACCGUCUCUACUUAAAAUACAAAAAUAAAUAAAAUUACCCGGGCUUGGUAGCACGCGCCUGCAAUCCUAGCUACUCCGGAGGCUGAGGCAGGAGAAUUACUUAAUCCAGGAAGUGGAGGUUGCAGUGAAGCAAGAUUGCACCACUGCACUCCAGCCUGGGCAACAGAGCAAGACUCCAUCUCAGGAAAAAAAAAAAAAAAAAAAAAAGAAAUACGUCCUUUUUAUUGUUAAGUCAUAAAGAGGUUUCAAAAUUAAAAGCAAAAACUACAGGGUAAGACUUAACAAAACUACUAGGAGUGUCAAAGGAGGUGAAAUGGGACCUAGGUGCAGGGCAAUAUGAAUUAACAUGGGAAAGACAAGGACAAUGAGCAUGUGCUGAAGAUACUAGAGAAGAAGAUCUGGUAAAAAAUUUGAUCUUAGAGAAGCACCUAGGUAAACAAAUAUUGGGAUAAGAUUUCUAACCCCCACUAUGUGCUUAAGAGUCAUUUUUGCCAUUGGCGCUGUCUCUGUCAUCCUCUCCUUCCUCAGCCUCUUUUUCAUCCUUGGUCAACUCCAGCUGGCCAUCCCCCACCUUCAUUAUCAUCAUCAUCCAGUAGAUCCCCCUCCUCAGCAGAGUCAUCUGCGCCCCCCUCAGACUUCACAUUAAUCUCAUUUUUCUUCACUGAGCUCCUGCUCUGUUCCUCUUCUCACUUACC
This 986-nucleotide long non-coding RNA is filed under the name Homo sapiens (human). RNAcentral's name for it is "HSALNT0123615". The record is from RNAcentral. Lineage: Eukaryota; Metazoa; Chordata; Mammalia; Primates; Hominidae.